CUUGCCGGCCAUAGGGCGUGGGCUCCACCUGAUCCCAUACCGAACUCAGAAGUUAAACCACGUUCCGUUUUCGGUUGUAGUGUGGUCUUCGGCCAUGCGAACCCGAGAAAGCUGGUGACC
RNAcentral lists this ribosomal RNA (120 nucleotides) under Candidatus Bathyarchaeota archaeon. Lineage: Archaea; Thermoproteati; Candidatus Bathyarchaeota. The record is from RNAcentral.